AAAAUGACAAACCCUGAGUUUUCGUGUCCAACAUAAAUAUUAAUUUUUUUACGAUUAAUAUUUUUAUUGUUAUUAUAUGAUAAAACAUAAAUAGUACUUUAUGUGUGACUAACUUUUUUUAAUUUUCUCAUAAAUUUUUCAAAUAAGACGGACGGUCAAACGUUGGACACGGAUUUCUACGGCUGCACUUAUU
MicroRNA precursor from Oryza sativa Japonica Group (Japanese rice), 193 nucleotides. It matches the Rfam family "MIR812 microRNA precursor family". Lineage: Eukaryota; Viridiplantae; Streptophyta; Magnoliopsida; Poales; Poaceae. The record is from Rfam.